Molecule: small RNA, 120 nt
Filed under: unclassified sequences
Description: LOOT RNA
Rfam family: LOOT RNA
About the family: Latescibacteria, OD1/Parcubacteria, OP11, TM7. Lineage (Microgenomates, aka OP11)
Source: Rfam by way of RNAcentral
UGCCUAAACCGUCGGGGAAACCCGCGGCAUGGCGUAAAACCGAUGAGAGUAUAAAGCUCCUAGUCAGAGCACUCUCAUCGGUCAUAUCUCGAAAGGGAUAUGGGUGGCCGCAAGGCCAUC